AAUGCCACACUGAAAAUUUGAUUGUGAUUCAAAUCUAACUAAUUUUAAGAUAAAGAUAAAACCAACUUACAGAUAGACGCUAAAAUCCAAAUAUAUAAUUUAAUUGAUCCGGAAGCGUGCGUAGCACUGCCCUAACAUGUAUUCCUGUCCUUUGUGCAAGAUUAACCAAAAACACCACCCCAAGAUACGAUCGGAAUUCCUCCUCCUACGAACACGAACGCGAAAGAGGUUGACGGAGACUCUUUCAACACCCGAUGAUAAAGAGAUCAAACAAAAUAAAAAUAAAAU
RNAcentral lists this long non-coding RNA (288 nucleotides) under Ananas comosus (pineapple). RNAcentral's name for it is "long non-coding RNA (ACOM_LNC015218)". The record is from RNAcentral. Lineage: Eukaryota; Viridiplantae; Streptophyta; Magnoliopsida; Poales; Bromeliaceae.